GCCUGCUUGGUGCAGUGGGUAGAGCGUGCGACUCUUGAUCCCAGCAUCGUGAGUUCGAGCCCCACAUUAGGUG
RNAcentral lists this transfer RNA (73 nucleotides) under Felis catus (domestic cat). It matches the Rfam family "tRNA". From Rfam's summary of the family: Transfer RNA (tRNA) molecules are approximately 80 nucleotides in length. Their secondary structure includes four short double-helical elements and three loops (D, anti-codon, and T loops). Lineage: Eukaryota; Metazoa; Chordata; Mammalia; Carnivora; Felidae. The record is from Rfam by way of RNAcentral.